UUUAACUCCAUUUCUGUAUGAAGCCUAUUUUCCCUCUUUCGGCGUUUAUUAAUUUAUUGGACUUUCCCUUUACAAAUUCGGCAUCCAAAGGGGCUUAUGUACUCUUCAGAAACAAGGAUAAGCAUGUAUAUAGACUAAUCAGCAUUGGCAUUUCAUUUUCUUCAUGUAUUUUUUUUUUUAUAAAAAAAUUGCAACGAUGCUAAGGGUCUGUUUGGUUGGAUGAAAAAUAUUUUUCAGAAAAUGUUUUCCUAAUUUUCCACUGUUUGGACACAAUCUAAUUUGGGAAAAUGAUUUCUACGAGGGAAGGAAAAAAACUUCCUUAUCUAUUAUUCUGAAGUUAUUUUCCUUUCUUAAAAGCACGGCCUCUUCUUAAAAUCACGGCCUAAAGGCAUUCUUCCACUUCAGCAGAUGCCCAUUCUCAACGAUUGAAGACCAUCGAUUGACGACUCAUCGGCGAACCAAUCCUUUUUCGCCGGCAGCGCCUCCAGCUCCGGCGAAGACCCACUUCCUGAGGGUUGAGGAUUCAAUGUGGCUAGUCAGAUGCACAAGCACCUUCAAGCAUUAGGCCCCGUUUACUAAGAACUGGAUCAGCCAUUGGGUUCGUGGCGUUCACUGUUCUUCCCACUUCGUGGGCUCUUACCUUUGCCAUAGGAGUAGAGCAUCUUUUUGGGCAUGCCUGGGAUCAGCUCGUAAUGUACAAUCUUGCUGACAGAUAUGGUUUGACGGGCUGGAUCUAACUUUGUAAAUUUCUCUAGUCCUCAGACUGUAAACUCAACUUCUGUUUGCUGACUAGAUUUAAACCCUGAUGGGUGCAUUUGUUGCUUUUGAGCUCCAUAGAAGGUUGUACUGUAAUUAUUGAUCUGAUAGAUCUAAUAUUUUUUGAAUUGGCUCUUACCAUAGCACAAAUCAAUCAAUUGGCUGCUCAUGUUUCUGUUAGAGAGCACUAUGGCCAUUCAGGCUCUUGACUGAUUCAAA
Coffea arabica (coffee) is the source of this 975-nucleotide long non-coding RNA. RefSeq lists it as uncharacterized. NCBI's taxonomy places the organism in Eukaryota, Viridiplantae, Streptophyta, Magnoliopsida, Gentianales, Rubiaceae. The record is from RefSeq and is a predicted model, not a curated record.